This 441-nucleotide ribosomal RNA is filed under the name uncultured bacterium. RNAcentral's name for it is "partial 16S ribosomal RNA". It matches the Rfam family "Bacterial small subunit ribosomal RNA", at positions 338 to 795 of the family's 1533-position model. The record is from RNAcentral.
CCUACGGGAGGCAGCAGUGGGGAAUAUUGUACAAUGGGGGAAACCCUGAUGCAGCAACGCCGCGUGAAGGAAGACGGUUUUCGGAUUGUAAACUUCUGUUCUUAGUGAAGAAUAAUGACGGUAGCCAAGGAGCAAGCCACGGCUAACUACGUGCCAGCAGCCGCGGUAAUACGUAGGUGGCAAGCGUUGUCCGGAAUUACUGGGUGUAAAGGGAGCGCAGGCGGGAAGCCAAGUCAGCUGUGAAAACUACGGGCUUAACUUGUAGACUGCAGUUGAAACUGGUUUUCUUGAGUGAAGUAGAGGUUGGCGGAAGUCCGAGUGUAGCGGUGAAAUGCGUAGAUAUUAGGAGGAACACCAGUGGCGAAGGCGGCCUACUGGACGGUGACUGACGCUGAGGCUCGAAAGCGUGGGGAGCAAACAGGAUUAGAUACCCUAGUAGUC